UAGGCCUAACACAUGCAAGUCGAGCGAGGACUUCGGUCCUAGCGGCGGACGGGUGAGUAACGCGUGGGAACGUGCCCUUUGCUUCGGAAUAGCCCUGGGAAACUGGGAGUAAUACCGAAUGUGCCCUUUGGGGGAAAGAUUUAUCGGCAAAGGAUCGGCCCGCGUUGGAUUAGGUAGUUGGUGGGGUAAUGGCCUACCAAGCCGACGAUCCAUAGCUGGUUUGAGAGGAUGAUCAGCCACACUGGGACUGAGACACGGCCCAGACUCCUACGGGAGGCAGCAGUGGGGAAUCUUAGACAAUGGGCGCAAGCCUGAUCUAGCCAUGCCGCGUGAGCGAUGAAGGCCUUAGGGUUGUAAAGCUCUUUCAGCGAGGAAGAUAAUGACUGUACUCGCAGAAGAAGCCCCGGCUAACUCCGUGCCAGCAGCCGCGGUAAU
RNAcentral lists this ribosomal RNA (435 nucleotides) under uncultured bacterium. Its description in RNAcentral is "bacterial SSU rRNA". It matches the Rfam family "Bacterial small subunit ribosomal RNA", at positions 43 to 524 of the family's 1533-position model. The record is from RNAcentral.